This 765-nucleotide ribosomal RNA is filed under the name uncultured Streptococcus sp. RNAcentral describes it as "bacterial SSU rRNA". It matches the Rfam family "Bacterial small subunit ribosomal RNA", at positions 28 to 776 of the family's 1533-position model. Lineage: Bacteria; Bacillati; Bacillota; Bacilli; Lactobacillales; Streptococcaceae. The record is from RNAcentral.
GACGAACGCUGGCGGCGUGCCUAAUACAUGCAAGUAGAACGCUGAAGCUUGGUGCUUGCACCGAGCGGAUGAGUUGCGAACGGGUGAGUAACGCGUAGGUAACCUGCCUGGUAGCGGGGGAUAACUAUUGGAAACGAUAGCUAAUACCGCAUAAGAGUAGAUGUUGCAUGACAUUUGCUUAAAAGGUGCAAUUGCAUCACUACCAGAUGGACCUGCGUUGUAUUAGCUAGUUGGUGGGGUAACGGCUCACCAAGGCGACGAUACAUAGCCGACCUGAGAGGGUGAUCGGCCACACUGGGACUGAGACACGGCCCAGACUCCUACGGGAGGCAGCAGUAGGGAAUCUUCGGCAAUGGACGGAAGUCUGACCGAGCAACGCCGCGUGAGUGAAGAAGGUUUUCGGAUCGUAAAGCUCUGUUGUAAGAGAAGAACGAGUGUGAGAGUGGAAAGUUCACACUGUGACGGUAUCUUACCAGAAAGGGACGGCUAACUACGUGCCAGCAGCCGCGGUAAUACGUAGGUCCCGAGCGUUGUCCGGAUUUAUUGGGCGUAAAGCGAGCGCAGGCGGUUAGAUAAGUCUGAAGUUAAAGGCUGUGGCUUAACCAUAGUACGCUUUGGAAACUGUUUAACUUGAGUGCAAGAGAGGAGAGUGGAAUUCCAUGUGUAGCGGUGAAAUGCGUAGAUAUAUGGAGGAACACCGGUGGCGAAAGCGGCUCUCUGGCUUGUAACUGACGCUGAGGCUCGAAAGCGUGGGGAGCAAACAGG